This 301-nucleotide ribosomal RNA is filed under the name uncultured bacterium. Its description in RNAcentral is "partial 16S ribosomal RNA". It matches the Rfam family "Bacterial small subunit ribosomal RNA", at positions 509 to 807 of the family's 1533-position model. The record is from RNAcentral.
CAGCAGCCGCGGUAAUGCGGAGGGAGCUAGCGUUGUUCGGAAUCACUGGGCGUAAAGCGCACGUAGGCGGCUAUUCAAGUCAGGGGUGAAAGCCCGGGGCUCAACCCCGGAACUGCCUUUGAAACUAGAUAGCUUGAAUCUUGGAGAGGCGAGUGGAAUUCCGAGUGUAGAGGUGAAAUUCGUAGAUAUUCGGAAGAACACCAGUGGCGAAGGCGACUCGCUGGACAAGUAUUGACGCUGAGGUGCGAAAGCGUGGGGAGCAAACAGGAUUAGAUACCCCCGUAGUCCCUGUCUCUUAUAC